RNAcentral lists this ribosomal RNA (624 nucleotides) under Hydraena quadricollis. RNAcentral describes it as "SSU rRNA". It matches the Rfam family "Eukaryotic small subunit ribosomal RNA", at positions 1 to 602 of the family's 1831-position model. The record is from RNAcentral. Lineage: Eukaryota; Metazoa; Arthropoda; Insecta; Coleoptera; Hydraenidae.
ACAACCUGGUUGAUCCUGCCAGUAGUCAUAUGCUUGUCUCAAAGAUUAAGCCAUGCAUGUCUCAGUACAAGCCUAAUUAAGGUGAAACCGCGAAAGGCUCAUUAAAUCAGUUAUGGUUCCUUAGAUCGUACCCACACUUACUUGGAUAACUGUGGUAAUUCUAGAGCUAAUACAUGCAAACAGAGCCCCGACCGGAGACGGAAGGGGCGCUUUUAUUAGAUCAAAGCCAAUCGGCGGCGGGUCAAACCGUCGUCGUACUCUUUGGUGACUCUGAAUAACUUAUUGCUGAUCGCAAGGUCUAGCACCGGCGACGCAUCUUUCAAAUGUCUGCCUUAUCAACUGUCGAUGGUAGGUUCUGCGCCUACCAUGGUUGUAACGGGUAACGGGGAAUCAGGGUUCGAUUCCGGAGAGGGAGCCUGAGAAACGGCUACCACAUCCAAGGAAGGCAGCAGGCGCGCAAAUUACCCACUCCCGGAACGGGGAGGUAGUGACGAAAAAUAACGAUACGGAACUCAUCCGAGGCUCCGUAAUCGGAAUGAGUACACUCUAAACCCUUUAACGAGGAUCAAUUGGAGGGAAAGUCUGGUGCCGGCAGCCGCGGUAAUUCCAGCUCCAAUAGCGUAU